RNAcentral lists this ribosomal RNA (425 nucleotides) under uncultured bacterium. RNAcentral's name for it is "partial 16S ribosomal RNA". It matches the Rfam family "Bacterial small subunit ribosomal RNA", at positions 354 to 796 of the family's 1533-position model. The record is from RNAcentral.
GUGGGGAAUCUUAGACAAUGGGGGAAACCCUGAUCUAGCCAUGCCGCGUGAUCGAUGAAGGCCUUAGGGUUGUAAAGAUCUUUCAGGUGGGAAGAUAAUGACUGUACCACCAGAAGAAGCCCCGGCUAACUCCGUGCCAGCAGCCGCGGUAAUACGGAGGGGGCUAGCGUGGUUCGGAAUUACUGGGCGUAAAGCGCAGGUAGGCGGAUUGGAAAGUUGGGGGUGAAAUCCCGGGGCUCAACCCCGGAACUGCCUUCAAAACUCCCAGUCUUGAGUUCGAGAGAGGUGAGUGGAAUUCCGAGUGUAUAGGUGAAAUUCGUAGAUAUUCGGAGGAACACCAGUGGCGAAGGCGGCUCACUGGCUCGAUACUGACGCUGAGGUGCGAAAGCGUGGGGAGCAAACAGGAUUAGAAACCCCUGUAGUCC